RNAcentral lists this ribosomal RNA (543 nucleotides) under uncultured eukaryote. Its description in RNAcentral is "eukaryotic LSU rRNA". It matches the Rfam family "Eukaryotic large subunit ribosomal RNA", at positions 765 to 1296 of the family's 3401-position model. The record is from RNAcentral.
CCGACUUGGAUGGGGGGCAACCUCUGAAAGGAUUGAGUAAGAGCAUUUAUGUUAGGACCCGAAAGAUGGUGAACUAUGCCUGAGUAGGGCAAAGUCAGAGGAAACUCUGAUGGAGGCUCGAAGGGGUUCUGACGUGCAAAUCGAUCUUCAAACUUGGGUAUAGGGGCGAAAGACUAAUCGAACCAUCGAGUAGCUGGUUCCCUCCGAAGUUUUCCCUCAGGAUAGCUGGAACUUAUGAGAAAGUAGUUUUAUCAGGUAAAGCGAAUGAUUAGAGGCUUUGGGGAAGAAACUUCCUCGACCUAUUCUCAAACUUUAAAUAGGUAAGAUUUGAAGGAUACUUAAGUGAUCUUUCAAUCUCUUGAAUAUAAAGUUCUUAGUGGGCCAUUUUUGGUAAGCAGAACUGGCGAUGUGGGAUGAACCGAACGUUAAGUUAAAGUGCCAAAUAAUACGCUCAUGAGAUACCAUAAAAGGUGUUGGUUCAUUUUGACAGCAGGACGGUGGCCAUGAAGUCGAACCGCUAAGGAGUGUGUAACAACUCACCUG